UACGUAGGUGGCAAGCGUUGUCCGGAUUUACUGGGCGUAAAGAGCGCGCAGGCGGUCGUUCAAGUCGCGUGUGAAAGCCCCCCGGCUCAACUGGGGAGGGUCACGCGAUACUGAUCGACUGGAAGGCAGGAGAGGGUAGUGGAAUUCCCGGUGUAGUGGUGAAAUGCGUAGAUAUCGGGAGGAACACCAGUGGCGAAGGCGACUACCUGGCCUGUUCUUGACGCUGAGGCGCGAAAGCUAGGGGGAGCAAACAGG
RNAcentral lists this ribosomal RNA (255 nucleotides) under uncultured bacterium. Its description in RNAcentral is "partial 16S ribosomal RNA". It matches the Rfam family "Bacterial small subunit ribosomal RNA", at positions 524 to 776 of the family's 1533-position model. The record is from RNAcentral.